RNAcentral lists this unclassified non-coding RNA (1347 nucleotides) under Hevea brasiliensis (rubber tree). The record is from RNAcentral. Lineage: Eukaryota; Viridiplantae; Streptophyta; Magnoliopsida; Malpighiales; Euphorbiaceae.
AUCUUUCAAAUAAUCCCUUAAAGUUAAAGGUCAGGACAACUUAAAGAAAAACGAAAUUCCAAAUGAGCUAGACCAGACCUCAGAUGUUCGGAAUCUUUAAGGUUCAUAUAAGAUAGUCACAAUCACAACGUCCAACCCAAGAGUGAGUUUGAAUCAAAAUUACAAAUUAAACCGAACUUUUCACAACUAAAUUGGAAACUUAACAGCUGCUUCAAGAUGAGUUUAGAGCAAAUAUCCCCGGCCGUUUCCCCUCACAGUGAAUGAAUUAUUCCACAAGCACCAUUCUCAAACACAAAGGCAUCCCCCGUCCAGGGGCUUGGUUUUUACAUCGUUAUUCACAAAAGACUGACUGAACUGCAGCUGAUUGGUUCCCAUUAAAAAUUCCAAACAUUCAUCACCAUGAGAAUGUAGCAAGGGAAGUAGAUCAGUGAAUCAAGCAGCGCUAACGGACCUUGAACUCACACUUCCACUUCUCGAUCGACUCCUACCAGAAUACCCUCUCUUGUAGCUAUGCUGUCUCGGGGUAUUGCUGGGAGAGCGACUCCUUGAGCUCCUGCUUCUUUCAGGAGAAAUGCUGUAUGAAUAGCUGCUCCAUGAUCUCCUGCUUCGUUUAGGGGAAAUACUACGUGAAUAACUUCUCCUCGAUUCCAGGGAGGGGCUGCGAGAGUAACUCCUCAAUGUUCUUCUCCUAGGCCCAGGAGAAUAACUCCUGGAAUAAUGUCUAUGAGAAAUCCUUGCCUCUGGUGACAGGCUCCGAGAAACUGACCGAUAACUGUGCCUUCUAUAGUAAGGAUAAGGGGAAUAACUGUCAUAAGGUGAGUAUGACUUAUCACGACCACACCUAUGAUACGGUGAGCGGGAUCGAGAAUAUGACUUAUAAUGCCUGUAGUCUGGAGAAUCAUAUCUACGUCGACUAUAAGAGUACGAUCUAUACUGAUAAGGGGAACCGUAUGAUCUACGGCGUCGGUCAAGGGAAUGGGACCUACUCCUGCUACGGUCAGAUGAAUAAUGAGUAGAGCGGCUAAAGCUUCUCCUAUAUGGAGAGUAGCUGGGAGAACGCCGAGAAGAGUAGCUACGCGACCUACGCCUCACAUGAACUGUUCUAAGUCCAAGAUACCUCCCAGGAGUUGGAGUUCUACCUCUCCGCCUUCGAGCCCCAGUGUUCUGAGACUUCAUGUGUUUGUUUUGUUUGUUAAGUUGUAGUUUGAGUUUGAUGAAGAGCUGCUACAUACAGCUAACCUGCUGCCAAAAAAACUUUUCCACAGUAAUUAUACGACCUUCAAGUACAGAUCGAUUCAGAUAUUUGAUGCAAUUUUCUGCCUCAUCAAUACUAGACAUGGUAAUGAA